UACGGGGGGGGCAAGCGUUGUUCGGAAUUACUGGGCGUAAAGGGCUCGUAGGUGGCCAACUAAGUCAGACGUGAAAUCCCUCAGCUUAACUGGGGAACUGCGUGUGAUACUGGAUGGCUUGGAUUUGGGAGAGGGAUGCGGAAUUCCAGGUGUAGCGGUGAAAUGCGUAGAUAUCUGGAGGAACACCGGUGGCGAAGGCGGCAUCCUGGACCAUGACUGACGCUGAGGAGCGAAAGCCAGGGGAGCAAACGGG
This 253-nucleotide ribosomal RNA is filed under the name uncultured bacterium. RNAcentral's name for it is "partial 16S ribosomal RNA". It matches the Rfam family "Bacterial small subunit ribosomal RNA", at positions 524 to 776 of the family's 1533-position model. The record is from RNAcentral.